Molecule: ribosomal RNA, 468 nt
Filed under: uncultured bacterium
Lineage: Bacteria
Description: partial 16S ribosomal RNA
Rfam family: Bacterial small subunit ribosomal RNA
Source: RNAcentral
GACGAACGCUGGCGGCGUGCUUAACACAUGCAAGUCGAACGGAAAGGCUCUGCUUUUGUGGGGUGCUCGAGUGGCGAACGGGUGAGUAACACGUGAGUAACCUGCCCUUGACUUUGGGAUAACUUCAGGAAACUGGGGCUAAUACCGGAUAGGAGCUCCUGCUGCAUGGUGGGGGUUGGAAAGUUUCGGCGGUUGGGGAUGGACUCGCGGCUUAUCAGCUUGUUGGUGGGGUAGUGGCUUACUAAGGCUUUGACGGGUAGCCGGCCUGAGAGGGUGACCGGCCACAUUGGGACUGAGAUACGGCCCAGACUCCUACGGGAGGCAGCAGUGGGGAAUAUUGCACAAUGGGCGGAAGCCUGAUGCAGCAACGCCGCGUGCGGGAUGACGGCCUUCGGGUUGUAAACCGCUUUCGCCUGUGACGAAGCGUGAGUGACGGUAAUGGGUAAAGAAGCACCGGCUAACUACGUG